This 227-nucleotide ribosomal RNA is filed under the name uncultured bacterium. RNAcentral's name for it is "partial 16S ribosomal RNA". It matches the Rfam family "Bacterial small subunit ribosomal RNA", at positions 104 to 334 of the family's 1533-position model. The record is from RNAcentral.
GGGUGAGUAAUGUCUGGGAAACUGCCUGAUGGAGGGGGAUAACUACUGGAAACGGUAGCUAAUACCGCAUAACGUCGCAAGACCAAAGAGGGGGACCUUCGGGCCUCUUGCCAUCGGAUGUGCCCAGAUGGGAUUAGCUAGUAGGUGGGGUAACGGCUCACCUAGGCGACGAUCCCUAGCUGGUCUGAGAGGAUGACCAGCCACACUGGAACUGAGACACGGUCCAG